Vicugna pacos (alpaca) is the source of this 565-nucleotide non-coding RNA. NCBI's taxonomy places the organism in Eukaryota, Metazoa, Chordata, Mammalia, Artiodactyla, Camelidae. The record is from RefSeq and is a predicted model, not a curated record.
AGCAGGUAGAGAGAAAGCCGGCUAUUCCUGUUUUGUCUAGGGAAGACUUCCCAGAACUGAUUAACUCAUGAAGUUGGCGAGACUAUCACAUAUUUUAAAAGACAAACCAAAGAACUGUGAAACACCUGUUGAAUUAUUUUGGAGUAAAACUCAUGAUGUCUAUAACAUAUUUUCAAAUGAUCCAGCCAAAAUAUGCAUAGAGAAAGGCAAUAUGUAAAAAUGUCAGCAACUGUUGUGUCUAAGAGGUAGGUGUACAGGUGUAUAUUGCACUGUUUUUCAACUUUUCUGUAUGUUUGAAAUUUUUCACAAUAGAAUGCUGAGGAAAAAAUCCAAAAGAGACAUAUGGUUGUUGUAGACAAUUUUCAGGAAACAGAAAAAUGUGAGGAUAAAAUCUGUGUGGUUUUAAACUAUUUUGUAUCUUUUGUGAGGAUCCCAUUUCUCCAUAAAUACAUGAAGAGUUCGUUAAAAUCAUCCUUGUGGUUUUCUCCUUUCUCUAAUCCAGUUAUUCCCAGGUCUUGUUUUUCAGUUCUCUCCUCAUCUCUGCAAUCCUCUCUUAACAUUUUUC